UACCCACAGGCAAUGGACAAAGAGACACCUUCUUGGUGGUGGUGUUCUUAUGUAAGUCAGGGCCAGAGCCAAUGGCAGUCCUUUGUUCAUCUUGGCUUGAUGCAUGUCUUGUGUCCAAAGCUAUUUUAUUCCAAGGACUCAUAA
Acomys russatus (golden spiny mouse) is the source of this 144-nucleotide small nucleolar RNA. RefSeq annotates it as small nucleolar RNA SNORA48. Lineage: Eukaryota; Metazoa; Chordata; Mammalia; Rodentia; Muridae. The transcript has a single exon. The record is from RefSeq and is a predicted model, not a curated record.